GACGAACGCUGGCGGCGUGCCUAAUACAUGCAAGUAGAACGCUGAAGGAGGAGCUUGCUUCUCUGGAUGAGCUGCGAACGGGUGAGUAACGCGUAGGUAACCUGCCUGGUAGCGGGGGAUAACUAUUGGAAACGAUAGCUAAUACCGCAUAAGAGUAGAUGUCGCAUGACAUUUGCUUAAAAGGUGCAAUUGCAUCACUACCAGAUGGACCUGCGUUGUAUUAGCUAGUUGGUGAGGUAACGGCUCACCAAGGCAACGAUACAUAGCCGGCCUGAGAGGGUGAUCGGCCACACUGGGACUGAGACACGGCCCAGACUCCUACGGGAGGCAGCAGUAGGGAAUCUUCGGCAAUGGACGGAAGUCUGACCGAGCAACGCCGCGUGAGUGAAGAAGGUUUUCGGAUCGUAAAGCUCUGUUGUAAGAGAAGAACGAGUGUGAGAGUGGAAAGUUCACACUGUGACGGUAGCUUACCAGAAAGGGACGGCUAACUACGUG
This 495-nucleotide ribosomal RNA is filed under the name uncultured bacterium. Its description in RNAcentral is "partial 16S ribosomal RNA". It matches the Rfam family "Bacterial small subunit ribosomal RNA", at positions 28 to 507 of the family's 1533-position model. The record is from RNAcentral.